Molecule: ribosomal RNA, 589 nt
Filed under: uncultured bacterium
Lineage: Bacteria
Description: partial 16S ribosomal RNA
Rfam family: Bacterial small subunit ribosomal RNA
Source: RNAcentral
UGGGGAAUCUUCCGCAAUGGACGAAAGUCUGACGGAGCAACGCCGCGUGAGUGAAGAAGGUUUUCGGAUCGUAAAACUCUGUCUUUUGGGGCGAACGUGAGUAUGGUGAACAAUCAUAGUCAGUGACGGUACCAAAGGAGGAAGCCACGGCUAACUACGUGCCAGCAGCCGCGGUAAUACGUAGGUGGCAAGCGUUGUCCGGAAUUAUUGGGCGUAAAGAGCGCGUAGGCGGGAUAGUCAGUCUGUUGUAAAAGUGCGGGGCUCAACCCCGUGAUGGCAAUGGAAACAGCUAUUCUUGAGUGCAGGAGAGGAAAGUGGAAUUCCCAGUGUAGCGGUGAAAUGCGUAGAUAUUGGGAGGAACACCAGUGGCGAAGGCGACUUUCUGGACUGUGUCUGACGCUGAGGCGCGAAAGCCAGGGGAGCGAACGGGAUUAGAUACCCCGGUAGUCCUGGCCGUAAACGAUGGGUACUAGGUGUGGGAGGUAUCGACCCCUUCCGUGCCGGAGUUAACGCAAUAAGUACCCCGCCUGGGGAGUACGGUCGCAAGACUGAAACUCAAAUGAAUUGACGGGGUCAUAGCUGUUUCCUG